GACGAACGCUGGCGGCGUGCCUAAUACAUGCAAGUAGAACGCUGAAGACUUUAGCUUGCUAAAGUUGGAAGAGUUGCGAACGGGUGAGUAACGCGUAGGUAACCUGCCUACUAGCGGGGGAUAACUAUUGGAAACGAUAGCUAAUACCGCAUAACAGCAUUUAACCCAUGUUAGAUGCUUGAAAGGAGCAAUUGCUUCACUAGUAGAUGGACCUGCGUUGUAUUAGCUAGUUGGUGAGGUAACGGCUCACCAAGGCGACGAUACAUAGCCGACCUGAGAGGGUGAUCGGCCACACUGGGACUGAGACACGGCCCAGACCCCUACGGGAGGCAGCAGUAGGGAAUCUUCGGCAAUGGGGGCAACCCUGACCGAGCAACGCCGCGUGAGUGAAGAAGGUUUUCGGAUCGUAAAGCUCUGUUGUAAGAGAAGAACGUGUGUGAGAGUGGAAAGUUCACACAGUGACGGUAACUUACCAGAA
This 478-nucleotide ribosomal RNA is filed under the name uncultured bacterium. RNAcentral describes it as "bacterial SSU rRNA". It matches the Rfam family "Bacterial small subunit ribosomal RNA", at positions 28 to 488 of the family's 1533-position model. The record is from RNAcentral.